This 304-nucleotide ribosomal RNA is filed under the name uncultured bacterium. Its description in RNAcentral is "partial 16S ribosomal RNA". It matches the Rfam family "Bacterial small subunit ribosomal RNA", at positions 506 to 807 of the family's 1533-position model. The record is from RNAcentral.
CAGCAGCCGCCGCGGUAAUACGAAGGGUGCAAGCGUUAAUCGGAAUUACUGGGCGUAAAGCGUGCGUAGGCGGUGAGUUAAGCCUGCUGUGAAAUCCCCGGGCUCAACCUGGGAAUGGCAGUGGAUACUGGCUCGCUAGAGUGUGUCAGAGGAUGGUGGAAUUCCCGGUGUAGCGGUGAAAUGCGUAGAGAUCGGGAGGAACAUCAGUGGCGAAGGCGGCCAUCUGGGACAACACUGACGCUGAGGCACGAAAGCGUGGGGAGCAAACAGGAUUAGAUACCCGAGUAGUCCCUGUCUCUUAUAC